UGGGGAAUAUUGGACAAUGGGCGCAAGCCUGAUCCAGCCAUGCCGCGUGAGUGAUGAAGGCCUUAGGGUUGUAAAGCUCUUUCGGCGGGGACGAUAAUGACGGUACCCGCAGAAGAAGCCCCGGCUAACUUCGUGCCAGCAGCCGCGGUAAUACGAAGGGGGCUAGCGUUGCUCGGAAUCACUGGGCGUAAAGGGCGCGUAGGCGGACAUUUAAGUCGGGGGUGAAAGCCCAGGGCUCAACCCUGGAAUUGCCUCCGAUACUGGGUGUCUCGAGACCGGAAGAGGUGAGUGGAACUGCGAGUGUAGAGGUGAAAUUCGUAGAUAUUCGCAAGAACACCAGUGGCGAAGGCGGCUCACUGGUCCGGUUCUGACGCUGAGGCGCGAAAAGCGUGGGGAGCAAACAGGAUUAGAUACCCUGGUAGUCCACGCCGUAAACGAUGGAUGCUAGCCGUUGGCAGGCUUGCCCGUCCAGUGGCGCAGCUAACGCUUUAAGCAUCCGCCUGGGGAGUACGGCCGCAAGGUUAAAACUUAAAGGAAUUGACGGGGUCAUAGCUGUUUCCU
Molecule: ribosomal RNA, 561 nt
Filed under: uncultured bacterium
Lineage: Bacteria
Description: partial 16S ribosomal RNA
Rfam family: Bacterial small subunit ribosomal RNA
Source: RNAcentral